Molecule: unclassified non-coding RNA, 3124 nt
Filed under: Hevea brasiliensis (rubber tree)
Lineage: Eukaryota; Viridiplantae; Streptophyta; Magnoliopsida; Malpighiales; Euphorbiaceae
Source: RNAcentral
UUAAAUUUAUUCAUUCUUAAUGAAGAAGAGACAUAAAUAUUGCUAUUAAAUAACUUAGUUCCAAUACAACCUUGUUAUAAUAACGAACAAAAUGCGUUACUACAUUUCUGGACUUUGGUGGAAACCCAUAUCAUAUUUAUUGGAAAUUAUCAUAUAUAUACAACAAAAAAUGAAUAAAAAAGAGAAUUCAAAACUAGGAAAAGAAAAAGAUAAAGAAUGAGAGAAGUGUUCUCUGUGGUAACAGAACUACAACACUCAUCUUGCACAAAUCUUCCGUCCCCAAUGAAUGAUUUUUAAGAGGGAAAGAAAAAGAAUGAUUACUUUCCUGAACAAAACUUUAACUCGAAUCAAUGUCCCUGCCACCAGCAACAACUUUGCGAUGACGCCUAGAGCCAGACUUCCUUCCUCGCCUUGCUCUUCGAACCGGAAUACUUGCAACCCUUUCGGCUGAAGUUUCAAGUGCUGUCUUUGGUGGUUCAUACGCCAAAACAAGGGGCGGCGGCGGUGGAUAUACAGUAGGAGGCAGAGGAGUCAUGUGCCCUAAAACAUCUCUAUGGUACUUCUGAACCACAAAGUUGCGUCUUUCACAGUCCAAGAACAUGUUCACAGUCCAGUUUGUUUUAGCCUGAAUCUUAUCCCUUACUGUCGAAAAGCUGAUUUGGUCCCUCGAAGUAAAGCGGUCAACUUCAUUGAACCAAAGACAUGUAAAGAGGUUGCUAAUAGGAACAUGCUCCCUUAUUAUAACACAUCCUUCAGGAACAUCACUUAUAAUAGGAAGCUUGGCCUCAGAAUAUGAUGUCAAACCCUCCUUUUUAUAAAAAUCAAUCUGAAAGUCAAUGGAGGCAUUGUCAUACUUCCCAGCUGCUUUAUUUGCCUCAGCUUCCACAAAAACAUCAAAACGCUUGUAAUGUCUAGAUAUUGCAAGAGUGGCAUUUUUUCUCCACAAGUGCCUUUCAAGAAUUUGAUAUGGAUCCACAACUAGUUCAAGCUUCCCAUCAAUCCAUAAAGAAAAGCGGGCAUUUGGAAACAUCCUAUGUGCUAGAAGCUUUGGAACCUUUCCGUUGCGUCUUCCAUCUUUGUAAGGAAGAUUAUGAACGACAACAAUUCUCCAUAUCCCAAUCUUCCUGCUGCUGUCUAGACCAUUUUUCUUCCUCAAAUAUGCUUCUGUUUCUUCAUCAACAAACAUGAAGAAGCAUACAGUCCUCUUAGAGUAUUCACUAAUAUUACUUGGCUGUUGGAUGUUGUCAAAGGCUCCUGAAAGAAGAGAAGAUUAUCUUAUAAGCUAUGAAUCAGCUCAGGCAGAGGACAUGAUUAGUUGAAAUCCCAUUAUGCAGAGGAAUACCAAAUAUUGCUGAAGCAACAACAACCCCAUGGCACUGCUCCAUUGCAGCCAGGUCAAUUUCAUCCAUGUCAAAUCCUGUAUUGCGGCCAGGUUUUUUCCCUCUGACAAAUCUGAUUAAUUCACAUACACACCAACCAAAAACGCACAAUGAACAGAUAUGAGUCAACAACCAGGGUAAGAUCUCAAAGAAUAUAUUAUUAGCAUUAUUAUUCUAAAAGAUGUAAAAUGGAUCUGGCAAAAUUCUGAAGAAAGUAAACUCAAGUACUUUUAAAUAUGCAUAGACGAAUCAAAAGGGAGAAAGAGAGCAUACCCACAAUGCAUACUCAUCGACUCUCUAAUAUCAUAAGAUUCACUUCUCUGCUUUAGAGUAGGGUACCCACCAAAUUCUGAGCCUCCAAAUUCUCCAUCUCUACUUAGUGGAUCCUCAUAUAGAUAUGUCAAGUUAUUAACUAUAGGAGAAAAUGAGGGGAACUUUGGCAUCAAAGCAAUUGCUUCUUCCACAGGAAGGUAACACACAGCACAUGCUGAAAUGUAAUUACCAAGGGAUCUCAGAAAAAUCAAUGGGAUAAUGUUAUUCACAUGCUAAAUGGAAACACAUUAUCCCUGCUAGCUUUAAGUAUCUACAUAUCAAUAACACAAAGUGGAGUGUCGAGCAGCAUCGACUAUUAAACCCCAAACAGAAAGGGAGAAAACAAAUAAAAAAAGUCGAGAAAACAUAGAGAGGGUGAAAGAGAACUUACGCCUUGGUCCAGUUCUUUUUUUAUCAGCUGGUGGGGGAGGUAAGGUGAAGCUAUUACAUGGAUGCCCUGGAGGAAGAGUGUAGCCUGUAAAAUAGUUACGAGGAGGAGGAGGAGGGGGAGGGGGUGGCAAAGCGAACUCUUCAAAUGUAUGAGUAUCAUUCUCUGGAUUGCUAAAGGGCUCGGUGCUAUUAAGGCUAAAGUUUGGAACCUGAUCACCUUCCUGUGAAUCUUCACCUUUUCCUACAUACAAAACCCAGACGAAAACGGCAGCGGAGAUGAUACAGAGGAACAGCAUUCCAACCUUUUUGCGGCCCGCGAACUUGCAGAUCCAAUGAAAGAGUCUCUCCUUGUCCUUGAGCAUCUUGGCAGGUUUCGUCCGGCUAGUCGUUUGGAUAGGCAAGUGAACACCACCACCGUUCUGCUGAUGUUGCUGAAAAUGCUUCUCCAAUGAUCCAUAACUUCCAGAGCGAAUCCCCAAUGACCCUCCAGUCAUUGUCUCUCCUUAAACCUCACACUAAACAAUGCCCCUCUCAUCUCAUCUCCUUCUCACAAAACAAUCGCAGUGGUUCUUCGAUAUUACUAUCAAACAGUAUUACGAAUCCACCAAGUAAUAAUGGGUUAUAAGAGACAAAUGAUGAAGACCCAAUUCGCCAAAUUGGCAAAGCACUCGUUUUCGUGGAUAAACUGUCGAAAUGAUAAUCCAAAAUCACCCACCAAAAAAGGGGCAAAAGAGGGAAAUAGUUCAGACCCAGUUCACCAAAUUGGCCCCAAACUACUGGGGCAUCCUUAGUUUUCAGUGAAAUCAAAGCUCUGGGCAACCAAAUUGAACUCAACCAUCCCAGAAACAGAAAACAAAAGUGGGCAAUAAACAAAGCAAAAUCAGCACAAUCUCUUUUCAAAAAACAAGUGACAAUUUAGUGUAGGAGCCGAAAUUCGAAUCUAUAAACUCACAGAUCAAAAUGAGUAUUAAAAAAUAAAAAAGUUAAACAGACCAAAAAAAAACGAAUUUUGAAGAGAAUAAAUCUAGGGUUUGUGAUUGGCG